This 544-nucleotide ribosomal RNA is filed under the name Streptomyces sp. M7. Its description in RNAcentral is "bacterial LSU rRNA". It matches the Rfam family "Bacterial large subunit ribosomal RNA", at positions 2388 to 2925 of the family's 2925-position model. Lineage: Bacteria; Bacillati; Actinomycetota; Actinomycetes; Kitasatosporales; Streptomycetaceae. The record is from RNAcentral.
GUCGAGCAGGGACGAAAGUCGGGACUAGUGAUCCGGCGGUGGCUUGUGGAAGCGCCGUCGCUCAACGGAUAAAAGGUACCCCGGGGAUAACAGGCUGAUCUUCCCCAAGAGUCCAUAUCGACGGGAUGGUUUGGCACCUCGAUGUCGGCUCGUCGCAUCCUGGGGCUGGAGUCGGUCCCAAGGGUUGGGCUGUUCGCCCAUUAAAGCGGUACGCGAGCUGGGUUUAGAACGUCGUGAGACAGUUCGGUCCCUAUCCGCUGUGCGCGUAGGAGUCUUGAGAAGGGCUGUCCCUAGUACGAGAGGACCGGGACGGACGAACCUCUGGUGUGCCAGUUGUCCUGCCAAGGGCAUGGCUGGUUGGCUACGUUCGGGAGGGAUAACCGCUGAAAGCAUCUAAGCGGGAAGCCUGCUUCGAGAUGAGGACUCCCACCCACUUGAUGGGGUAAGGCUCCCAGUAGACGACUGGGUUGAUAGGCCGGAUCUGGAAGCACGGUAACGUGUGGAGGUGACCGGUACUAAUAGGCCGAGGGCUUGUCCUCAGUUG